Molecule: long non-coding RNA, 336 nt
Filed under: Lepisosteus oculatus (spotted gar)
Lineage: Eukaryota; Metazoa; Chordata; Actinopteri; Semionotiformes; Lepisosteidae
Description: lncRNA (ENSLOCG00000022115.1)
Source: RNAcentral
CCUAGAUCAGUUUAUGAGAACAUAGUUUUUUAUUCUAUAAAUAAGUACUGGCCAAAGACUUUAAAAAAGACCAACUUUACAAUGAAACAAGAAAUAUUCUGAAGUAUUUCCCUUAUACUACUGGAUCCAUGGUAUGAUUAUAUCAAAUAAGGGCUACAAGACAGGUGAACGAAGAAGAGGUGGAACUGAAUAGCCGUGGAUUGCAAAGCAGAUUCUCACCACAGGUAUAUUUUCAAUCUGAAGAAUAUUUUUCUACUGAUGAACUAACAAUUGUAAACAGUUAUGAGCUUCCAACAAAAAUGGUGAGUACUUUCAUAUGUAACAACAAAACAAACU